UGGGGAAUAUUGCACAAUGGGCGCAAGCCUGAUGCAGCCAUGCCGCGUGUGUGAAGAAGGCCUUCGGGUUGUAAAGUACUUUCAGCGGGGAGGAAGGGAGUAAAGUUAAUACCUUUGCUCAUUGACGUUACCCGCAGAAGAAGCACCGGCUAACUCCGUGCCAGCAGCCGCGGUAAUACGGAGGGUGCAAGCGUUAAUCGGAAUUACUGGGCGUAAAGCGCACGCAGGCGGUUUGUUAAGUCAGAUGUGAAAUCCUCGGGCUCAACCUGGGAACUGCAUCUGAUACUGGCAAGCUUGAGUCUCGUAGAGGGGGGUAGAAUUCCAGGUGUAGCGGUGAAAUGCGUAGAGAUCUGGAGGAAUACCGGUGGCGAAGGCGGCCCCCUGGACAAAGACUGACGCUCAGGUGCGAAAGCGUGGGGAGCAAACAGG
Molecule: ribosomal RNA, 429 nt
Filed under: Chloroflexota bacterium
Lineage: Bacteria; Bacillati; Chloroflexota
Description: Chloroflexi bacterium partial 16S ribosomal RNA
Rfam family: Bacterial small subunit ribosomal RNA
Source: RNAcentral